GCGUAGCUCAGUUGGUUAGAGCGCUACCUUGACACGGUAGAGGUCGUUGGUUCGAAUCCAAUCGC
This 65-nucleotide transfer RNA is filed under the name marine eukaryotic metagenome. It matches the Rfam family "tRNA", at positions 5 to 66 of the family's 71-position model. From Rfam's summary of the family: Transfer RNA (tRNA) molecules are approximately 80 nucleotides in length. Their secondary structure includes four short double-helical elements and three loops (D, anti-codon, and T loops). The record is from RNAcentral.